Molecule: ribosomal RNA, 1552 nt
Filed under: Staphylococcus aureus
Lineage: Bacteria; Bacillati; Bacillota; Bacilli; Caryophanales; Staphylococcaceae
Description: 16S ribosomal RNA
Rfam family: Bacterial small subunit ribosomal RNA
Source: RNAcentral
UUUAUGGAGAGUUUGAUCCUGGCUCAGGAUGAACGCUGGCGGCGUGCCUAAUACAUGCAAGUCGAGCGAACGGACGAGAAGCUUGCUUCUCUGAUGUUAGCGGCGGACGGGUGAGUAACACGUGGAUAACCUACCUAUAAGACUGGGAUAACUUCGGGAAACCGGAGCUAAUACCGGAUAAUAUUUUGAACCGCAUGGUUCAAAAGUGAAAGACGGUCUUGCUGUCACUUAUAGAUGGAUCCGCGCUGCAUUAGCUAGUUGGUAAGGUAACGGCUUACCAAGGCAACGAUGCAUAGCCGACCUGAGAGGGUGAUCGGCCACACUGGAACUGAGACACGGUCCAGACUCCUACGGGAGGCAGCAGUAGGGAAUCUUCCGCAAUGGGCGAAAGCCUGACGGAGCAACGCCGCGUGAGUGAUGAAGGUCUUCGGAUCGUAAAACUCUGUUAUUAGGGAAGAACAUAUGUGUAAGUAACUGUGCACAUCUUGACGGUACCUAAUCAGAAAGCCACGGCUAACUACGUGCCAGCAGCCGCGGUAAUACGUAGGUGGCAAGCGUUAUCCGGAAUUAUUGGGCGUAAAGCGCGCGUAGGCGGUUUUUUAAGUCUGAUGUGAAAGCCCACGGCUCAACCGUGGAGGGUCAUUGGAAACUGGAAAACUUGAGUGCAGAAGAGGAAAGUGGAAUUCCAUGUGUAGCGGUGAAAUGCGCAGAGAUAUGGAGGAACACCAGUGGCGAAGGCGACUUUCUGGUCUGUAACUGACGCUGAUGUGCGAAAGCGUGGGGAUCAAACAGGAUUAGAUACCCUGGUAGUCCACGCCGUAAACGAUGAGUGCUAAGUGUUAGGGGGUUUCCGCCCCUUAGUGCUGCAGCUAACGCAUUAAGCACUCCGCCUGGGGAGUACGACCGCAAAGUUGAAACUCAAAGGAAUUGACGGGGACCCGCACAAGCGGUGGAGCAUGUGGUUUAAUUCGAAGCAACGCGAAGAACCUUACCAAAUCUUGACAUCCUUUGACAACUCUAGAGAUAGAGCCUUCCCCUUCGGGGGACAAAGUGACAGGUGGUGCAUGGUUGUCGUCAGCUCGUGUCGUGAGAUGUUGGGUUAAGUCCCGCAACGAGCGCAACCCUUAAGCUUAGUUGCCAUCAUUAAGUUGGGCACUCUAAGUUGACUGCCGGUGACAAACCGGAGGAAGGUGGGGAUGACGUCAAAUCAUCAUGCCCCUUAUGAUUUGGGCUACACACGUGCUACAAUGGACAAUACAAAGGGCAGCGAAACCGCGAGGUCAAGCAAAUCCCAUAAAGUUGUUCUCAGUUCGGAUUGUAGUCUGCAACUCGACUACAUGAAGCUGGAAUCGCUAGUAAUCGUAGAUCAGCAUGCUACGGUGAAUACGUUCCCGGGUCUUGUACACACCGCCCGUCACACCACGAGAGUUUGUAACACCCGAAGCCGGUGGAGUAACCUUUUAGGAGCUAGCCGUCGAAGGUGGGACAAAUGAUUGGGGUGAAGUCGUAACAAGGUAGCCGUAUCGGAAGGUGCGGCUGGAUCACCUCCUUU